GCUGGGCGCGGUGGCUCACGCCUGUAAUCCCAGCACUUUGGGAGGCCGAGGCGGGCGGAUCACCUGAGGUCAGGAGUUCAAGACCAGCCUGACCAAAUGGAGAAACCCCAUCUCUACUAAAAAUACAAAAAUCAGUCAGGCAUGGUGGCUCACGCCUGUAAUCCCAGCACUUUGGGAGGCUGAGGUGGGCAGAUCACUUGAGGUCAGGAGUUCGAGACCAGCCUGGCCAAAAAGGUGAAACCCCAUCUCU
Molecule: small RNA, 250 nt
Filed under: Theropithecus gelada (gelada)
Lineage: Eukaryota; Metazoa; Chordata; Mammalia; Primates; Cercopithecidae
Description: Metazoan signal recognition particle RNA (ENSTGEG00000027092.1)
Source: RNAcentral